AUGUCGGCGGAGACGGAGAAGAGCGCCGCCGCGCCCGCGCCCGCGCCCAUGCGGUGCCAGCGAAUAGGCUGCGACGCCAUGUUCACCGACGACGACAACCCCGACGGCUCCUGCCACUACCACCCCUCCGGACCUAUGUUUCAUGAUGGCAUGAAAGAGUGGAGCUGUUGCAAGCAAAGAAGCCAUGAUUUUAGCUUAUUUUUAGCUAUUCCUGGAUGUGCCACAGGGAAGCAUACAACUGAGAAACCAGUCACAAAAGCUGUUUCUCUUAACUCAAAGGCAACCCCACCAAAGUUAGCUCCACUCCAGUCUUCUAAGCAGGGUGUGGAAACCGAGGCCUGCUCCAGGUGCCGUCAGGGUUUCUUUUGCUCCGACCAUGGAUCACAGCCCAAGGCACAAAAACCAGUUGCUGUAAAUGGUACAAAUACGGAACCUGUCGAGAAAUGCUCGGUUCCACAGCCCAAGAAAAAGGUUGUUAAUAUAAACGAGCCUAGGGUUUGUAAGAAUAAAGGAUGUGGUAAAACCUACAAGGAGAAGGAUAACCAUGAUGCUGCAUGCGAAUACCAUCCAGGCCCUGCGGUUUUCCAUGACAGGAAUAGAGGGUGGAAGUGUUGCGAUGUCCAUGUCAAGGAGUUUGACGAAUUUAUGGAGAUACCUCCAUGCACAAAGGGGUGGCACAAUGCUGAUGCCGUGUGA
RNAcentral lists this ribosomal RNA (696 nucleotides) under Triticum aestivum (bread wheat). RNAcentral's name for it is "partial small subunit ribosomal RNA". Lineage: Eukaryota; Viridiplantae; Streptophyta; Magnoliopsida; Poales; Poaceae. The record is from RNAcentral.